CCGAACCCAAGUCCGUGCCCCAGAAGUUCGGAGCAGCUUCCUUCCGGGUGCUCGGGGGUGGUGGUGGGGGGGUUCAGCUCCCGGUGUAGCUCAUCACCUCCACAAGUAACCCUACUCGCUGACCACCCUCCUUAUGUCCAUAGUGCAUGCUGUCCGCAUGGAGGGCGGGCCCGGCACAGGAAUCUGUAGACAUCAGCUUGUACCUCUGAUGGAAGUGUCCCGAGCAGAGUCCUGCAUGCAUUACGAGCCAGCUACUGCUUCCAGGUGGAAAUGGAUCCUGUGAUCCUUGGGUCAUCUGUGGCUCUGAAUGCCAUGGUAACAGGUUUCAGAGCAGCAACAGACUGGGGGCCAGAGCCAG
Long non-coding RNA from Lutra lutra (Eurasian river otter), 358 nucleotides. RefSeq lists it as uncharacterized. The record is from RefSeq and is a predicted model, not a curated record. Lineage: Eukaryota; Metazoa; Chordata; Mammalia; Carnivora; Mustelidae. The transcript is spliced from 3 exons.